CGCUGUAUGGGCACCUGAUCUAGCCAUGCCGCGUGAGUGAUGAAGGCCCUAGGGUCGUAAAGCUCUUUCGCCAGGGAUGAUAAUGACAGUACCUGGUAAAGAAACCCCGGCUAACUCCGUGCCAGCAGCCGCGGUAAUACGGAGGGGGUUAGCGUUGUUCGGAAUUACUGGGCGUAAAGCGCGCGUAGGCGGAUCAGAAAGUUGGGGGUGAAAUCCCGGGGCUCAACCCCGGAACUGCCUCCAAAACUCCUGGUCUUGAGUUCGAGAGAGGUGAGUGGAAUUCCGAGUGUAGAGGUGAAAUUCGUAGAUAUUCGGAGGAACACCAGUGGCGAAGGCGGCUCACUGGCUCGAUACUGACGCUGAGGUGCGAAAGUGUGGGGAGCAAACAGGAUUAGAUACCCCGGUAGUCAA
Molecule: ribosomal RNA, 411 nt
Filed under: Antarctobacter albus
Lineage: Bacteria; Pseudomonadati; Pseudomonadota; Alphaproteobacteria; Rhodobacterales; Roseobacteraceae
Description: bacterial SSU rRNA
Rfam family: Bacterial small subunit ribosomal RNA
Source: RNAcentral